This 863-nucleotide ribosomal RNA is filed under the name uncultured bacterium. Its description in RNAcentral is "bacterial SSU rRNA". It matches the Rfam family "Bacterial small subunit ribosomal RNA", at positions 58 to 916 of the family's 1533-position model. The record is from RNAcentral.
CAAGUCGAACGGCAGCACGGGUGCUUGCACCUGGUGGCGAGUGGCGAACGGGUGAGUAAUACAUCGGAACGUACCUUAUCGUGGGGGAUAACGCAGCGAAAGCUGUGCUAAUACCGCAUACGCCCUGAGGGGGAAAGCGGGGGAUCGAAAGACCUCGCGCGAUUAGAGCGGCCGAUGCCUGAUUAGCUUGUUGGUGGGGUAAAAGCCCACCAAGGCGACGAUCAGUAGCUGGUCUGAGAGGACGAUCAGCCACACUGGGACUGAGACACGGCCCAGACUCCUACGGGAGGCAGCAGUGGGGAAUUUUGGACAAUGGGGGAAACCCUGAUCCAGCAAUGCCGCGUGAGUGAAGAAGGCCUUCGGGUUGUAAAGCUCUUUUGUCAGGGAAGAAACACCGGCUCUAACACAGUCCGGGAAUGACGGUACCUGAAGAAUAAGCACCGGCUAACUACGUGCCAGCAGCCGCGGUAAUACGUAGGGUGCGAGCGUUAAUCGGAAUUACUGGGCGUAAAGCGUGCGCAGGCGGUUAUACAAGACAGGCGUGAAAUCCCCGGGCUUAACCUGGGAAUGGCGCCUGUGACUGUAUAGCUAGAGUGUGUCAGAGGGGGGUAGAAUUCCACGUGUAGCAGUGAAAUGCGUAGAUAUGUGGAGGAAUACCAAUGGCGAAGGCAGCCCCCUGGGAUAACACUGACGCUCAUGCACGAAAGCGUGGGGAGCAAACAGGAUUAGAUACCCUGGUAGUCCACGCCCUAAACGAUGCUGACUAGUUGUUCGGGAUUUACAUCCUGAGUAACGUAGCUCACGCGUGAAGUCAGCCGCCUGGGGAGUACGGUCGCAAGAUUAAAACUCAAAGGAAUUGACGG